This is a long non-coding RNA of Mercenaria mercenaria, 1503 nucleotides long. RefSeq lists it as uncharacterized. Lineage: Eukaryota; Metazoa; Mollusca; Bivalvia; Venerida; Veneridae. The record is from RefSeq and is a predicted model, not a curated record. The transcript is spliced from 3 exons.
ACUACCUAUGCUCAAACAGUAAUAAGAACUAAAAGUGCCAAAACUUAAAUUAGAGUUCUUUCAUAAAUCUUUUGCCUAUUCAAAACUGAACAAAAUGGUAACUAUAUUAUUGCAAAAUCAUUUCCAGUAUUUUCAUUUGCCUCAUAUUUUGCUGUUUUUGUCUCAAAGGCUAUUUCAUUUGAUGUCGUUGAAUUUUAGUUUCAAUAAGAUCAAAAAUGACAAGUUGAUUUGUUUGUUGAGAUUUUAAUUUUGCGGAUUGAUACAACCAAGAUAUCUAUAAAAAGUAGUCCGGCACAAAUAAUGAUGACAUGAUGUUACAUCAUAUAUAUUCUGACACCCUUGUCUCUCAUAGAUAUUCUUGUAUACUCUGCAAUCCUGCAUCAUUAUAACACCCUAUUCACCUCCUAACAUCUUCUAUUUCUUGCACACUUUUCAGUGAAUCAUGACUAUCUUUCCAGAUAAUGACUGUAAACUUUUCCAAUCAGCCAAUUUGGACCAGUCACUAGAGGAGGAUGUAGUGGCACUGUUACAUUGCCAGGCAACAGCAGAUCUGAAAGCAAUCAUACGCUGGUACAAAAAAUGGCCGCUCCCUGAAAAGACUGGAAGAUAUUUACUGCUUGAUUUCAAGACUGAAGGAAAGAGUUUUAUAAAAUCAUCACCAGACUUGACCGAAUUCCCAGGAGCGCCAGAGAAGCCUGUUGUCAGUGAUGUCACAGAUACCAGUGUUCACAAGUCAUGGAAACUAUUUCUUGAUACAGACCGGUGUAUCUCCAGUUGAUUGUACAGAUUAGAGUACUUCGGAAAUGGCUUAAAAUUAUCAGAGUCCUGGAAGGUAGCAAGAGCCUGUUAUACCAGUACAGAUAUAACUAUUGAUUGACUGGUUCCAAACACUACUUGUGUUUUCCUUGUCAGAGCAGUAAACUUUUUAAUUAUUGGCCGUAGGGAAAAACCGAGGCCACUUUUCUGUGGUACAACAUGGAUGGUACUUCAAAUUUUUAUGUCUAUUUUUACAUAGCUGUACCUGAUAAGGAUUUUUUUGUAGACUUUGAAUAUUUUUUUUUGUGGAACUAGAUUUGUUUUUUGAAGUUUUCCUUUUGUUGUUACAGUCCUUUGGGCUUCAACAGUCAAGUUCUUAAAAUUUUGCUUCCAUCCUAUGAUGUAAGCCUUCGGGCGUAUAUUGCCCCGCUUGGCGGCGCUCUUGUUGUAAAUCGCUUCCACAUACUUUAGUUACAGUUCAUGUAAAUUUAUAAAGUUGUUAUAUAAUAUCAGCCAUCUUAAGGACAGUUUUGUGGAAAAUAAAAAUCCAAUAAUAGAAUUUGUUUAAUCUUUGUAUAUGAACACACUGUCAUGUUAGAAACAGAAUAAUGAAAAAAAAAAUCGAAGAUCACCACGCUUGUUCAGGAAUUAUCGAUCUGAAAUUGCAGUGAUGAUCUUUAACAUGGCCCUAUAGGAAAAAAACAAACAAACACAAAAUCUUGUUGGAAACAAGAUUUAUUUAUAACU